GGGUAGGUACCCAAGUGGUCAACGGGGUGAGUCUGUAAAACUCAUGCCUUCGGGCUUCGGGGGUUCGAAUCCCUCCCUACCCA
RNAcentral lists this transfer RNA (83 nucleotides) under Candidatus Nealsoniibacteriota bacterium. Its description in RNAcentral is "Candidatus Nealsonbacteria bacterium tRNA-Tyr". It matches the Rfam family "tRNA". From Rfam's summary of the family: Transfer RNA (tRNA) molecules are approximately 80 nucleotides in length. Their secondary structure includes four short double-helical elements and three loops (D, anti-codon, and T loops). Further hydrogen bonds mediate the characteristic L-shaped molecular structure. tRNAs have two regions of fundamental functional importance: the anti-codon, which is responsible for specific mRNA codon recognition, and the 3' end, to which the tRNAs corresponding amino acid is attached (by aminoacyl-tRNA synthetases). tRNAs cope with the degeneracy of the genetic code in two manners: having more than one tRNA (with a specific anti-codon) for a particular amino acid; and 'wobble' base-pairing, i.e. permitting non-standard base-pairing at the 3rd anti-codon position. Lineage: Bacteria; Candidatus Nealsoniibacteriota. RNAcentral also lists the same sequence under 1 other name. The record is from RNAcentral.